UCUGUGUGUGUGUGAGGCUUUCUGAAUAGUGUGAACUCCAUUGCAUGGUCACUGGAGCCCAGGUAGCUUCCAGUUUUGAUGCUGCCAAUAGGCUCACCAAUGUUGUAGAUGUCAGAGGGGUACGAGGCCCCUAACAGAAUGAAACCUGCAAUCUUAAUGCCUCCUGUAGCUGGAGGAAGAAGGCUCCAUCAACUGGCUCCACUGUAUCCGCUAUAGGCUGCCUGAUCAAAAGUGUUUUUAUAUGUUAUUUCUAGCUUAAUUCACUUAAUGUAUUACCAAAAAAACCUGUAUUCUCAUUAUAACAGUAGGAUCUUUUUAAUUGCAUUCAUACAAUACUAAUGCUAACAUAGAGCAAGUUGAGAACUAUACCUUCUCCUUGCUUGAGUUUGCCCCUAUGUGCCUAUCUUGUUUCAGGCAAUGCUUUCUACUUCUCUUUGC
This is a long non-coding RNA of Tympanuchus pallidicinctus (lesser prairie-chicken), 438 nucleotides long. RefSeq lists it as uncharacterized. The transcript is spliced from 3 exons. Lineage: Eukaryota; Metazoa; Chordata; Aves; Galliformes; Phasianidae. The record is from RefSeq and is a predicted model, not a curated record.